UUGGAUUUGGGACCUCAGAUGUUUGCUUAGCUUUUUCACUUAAGGAUGAUGCUCUAUAACUUCAUCGUGGUUAUUUUAGAAAUGGAGCCUAGCAAAGUUUUCUGCCUUGGCCAGUCUUGAAUGAAUGACCAUCCUCUGGCUGUCAUCCCACUGAGCAGCUAGGAUUAUAGAUAUGAACCAAUGGCACGUGGUUACUGUUUAUGUUUAAUACAAAGUCCUUAUGGAAGUGUGAUGUAAGAAGUACAGGUAUACCAGAUGCCCAAAGUUGUAGAAUUCCCAGGGUCUUCUCUGCUUCACAAAUUAUUGUCAUAGUUCCUUGAGGUUCAAGAUAACAAGCAAAAGUCUGGAGUAAAUUAAUUCUCUAUUUUGUCCCAUUUCUUAUCAAAUGGAAGAACAUAUUUUGAUGAGAUUAGGCUCUAAAAUUAAUCACUAAAAUAAAAAUAAAAUGUGUUUUUUGAAAUGUUUAGUUAAAUUAAAGAAUGAGAUUUUUGAAAAUUAUGGCCAUGCAUAAAACCAUUGGGAUGUAGACAGUAUAGUGUUAUGAAAUUUAUUACUCAAUGGGGAUACAUUGGUGAUUCAAUAGUUUUUUUUUCUCCAUUAAAACAAUAAAUUGCAUUUCUCAUUAUGGACUAUUAUCUCUCCCUCUGUUGAUUUUUUAAGGUUUUUAUAAUUUACUCUAUAUUAAUAAAUGAGUUUAAUAAUGUCCUUAAGCCUCCUAGCACUCCCCCUACUUUUCAUGGGACUAUUAAAAAAAUCAGUGCCUGCAGGCUUCUUAAACUGAUCUACAUAGCCAAUUAUGUUUGAGCUUUCAAAGGGCAAUUAAUAUAAGAGUGACAAUAUUCAGUCCUGUCUGCACUCAACUUACUGGUAGCAAAAUUAGUAUUGCUAUGAAAAUGAUAUUUUCCAUGUGGUUAAUAUUAUUGCUGUAUCACUGUAAUUUCUUUUUUCCUUGAGAUGAACUUGAGGUUCCAUUGCUUAUUUUAUUAUGCUUAGGUCUGGUCUUUGUGGAGGAAAAAGAAAUAUUCUUACAUGACCUGCGUUGUCUGUAUCACUACAUUCUUCACUUAUGUGGGGAAGUGUGUGGAUUCCCAAGGAAUCUAGCAAUGAACCCUCUUCCCAAGUGUAUUAUAUUUAACCAUACUGAAUGUGUCCCUGUGUUACAGAUACAAUGAUAUGUUAGAUAUAAUGAAUUUUACUUCUUUUUCCCCUGACCUGUAUUAGUUGUUGGCAGUAGUGACUGCCCUAAAAAAUCAUUACCUUUUUUACUUGGGAACUAUCUUCUGCCAUUUGGCUUAGCCAGUAGAGAUGAUAGACAAAUGAAAAAUUGACAUCCCUCACCCCAAUUUAUGCUUCCUAUGCUCUACAAUGAUGCUUUGCAAGUGAUUUUCUAAAUUCUAUGUGAACUCAAUUUUCUGGGUUUCUCCAAAUCUAGUCAUUUCCUGUAUGUAGUUGAAAUCUCAACAAUUGCCCUUCUAUUAAGCCAUGAUUUUCUUGUUGCUUUUCGGUAUGGAACUAUAGCAAAAUACCCAAGGAUAGAUCCAUUAGAAAUAAAGAUGUUUAUUCGACUUACAAUUCUGGUAUCUUGAAGGCUCAACAACAUGACCCCAGCACCAUGGCAAGGAGCCCCUUGGCUGUGUCACAUGGUAGAGGUGAAUGAAGGGAAAUGGCUGUGUGCAUAAAAUGGAGAUGCCAUAGAAUGCUAGCCUUGAGCAAAAGGAAGCCAGGGACAGUGCUCAGGC
Molecule: long non-coding RNA, 1739 nt
Organism: Perognathus longimembris pacificus (Pacific pocket mouse)
Lineage: Eukaryota; Metazoa; Chordata; Mammalia; Rodentia; Heteromyidae
Exons: 3
Source: RefSeq, a predicted model, not a curated record